UACAGAGGUCCCAAGCGUUGUUCGGAUUCACUGGGCGUAAAGGGUGCGUAGGCGGUCGGGGUAAGUCUGACGUGAAAUCUCCAAGCCUAACUUGGAACUGCGUUGGAUACUAUCCGGCUUGAGGAAUGGAGGGGAGACUGGAAUACUUGGUGUAGCAGUGAAACGCGUAGAUAUCAAGUGGAACACCAGUGGCGAAGGCGAGUCUCUGGACAUUUCCUGACGCUGAGGCACGAAAGCCAGGGGAGCAAACGGG
RNAcentral lists this ribosomal RNA (253 nucleotides) under uncultured bacterium. Its description in RNAcentral is "partial 16S ribosomal RNA". It matches the Rfam family "Bacterial small subunit ribosomal RNA", at positions 524 to 776 of the family's 1533-position model. The record is from RNAcentral.